CCGCGUUGCUCUCUCUCUUCCCGACCUUUCUCUUUCUCGUCUUCCCUCUGCCACCACUGGAGACUCCAACUCCGGCCACCAUCUCACCACACCGCCUCCAUCAUUCGAUGUAGCACCUAAAUCCGACCCGAGCCCUAGCCUUACCGUCGACAUGCAUCACCGGCGGCCUCCACACGCGACCAUCUGAACUGCAGCACCACUGUCGCUACCUUUCUUUGAUUUCCGGCUACCACCUCGCCUCACUACCUCCCUAGUUCGAACCAGCUCUCAAAACCAACCCAAACCCAGUCGAAAUCAUAACCAUGCAUCAAACCAAGCCGCCGCUUCUACACCCAUAGAACAGCCGUGUCGUCUCUCAUCGGAGACGGCCUUCUCCGAUCAUUUCCUUACCACACCGUCACCAAAGCUCCACUCAGCAAGCAACAAGGAGCAAAAUCCAAAAGUCUUGGCACCCACCAAGGCCGGACAACGCCGUACGAGCAUCGCCGGAAUCUCGGCUUCUGUUGAGAUCUAUUCAUCUUUACCGGCCUCAUCAAAACGCCACCGCCACCAACACUAGGACCAGCACGACCUAAUCUACCCACCUGCAAGGCUCCGAAGUCCAGCCCGGCUCAGAACCACGUCAAGCGGGCUUGAGACACCCUAGCGCCGCCGCCGCCGAGUUUCUAGGCCGACAGUUUGGUAAUUUUCGUGUUCCCCUCUAUGGUUAAAGCUUUUGGUUUGAGCAGAAUGGAAUUCCUAAUUAAUGUGUCGUUGAAUUUGGAGUAUUUGAGGAUUGUGAAUCUGUGAUAUCAAGCUUUGGAGAAAAGAGGAGCCAUUGGGAUGGUUUCGAUUGAAAUCGAAUAAGGUAAGGAACUAAGGAAUGGAUUAUUGAUCCUAUUUUUGCGUACUAGGGAAUCUGAAGGAUUAAUGGUGGUAGAGUGUAGCUUCGACGAUUCAACUUCUAAUUUGGGGAAAAGAAGAAUGGUAAGGGGACUGUGCAUUCUGGAAUCGAUAUGGUUGUGUGCUGUUUGUAUUGAUGGAAGUUAUGGCAUUAUUGAGUAAACAAAAUGACAUAUGGUCAUGCUGCUUGUGUAUUAACAGUUAUGUUGGAAACUUGGCAUGAAUAAGUAUGAAUCGACUUAUUAAAUAGAGGAGAAUUGUCUUGAGAAUUAAAAGGAUGAAUUUGUUAUCGACG
Molecule: long non-coding RNA, 1177 nt
Filed under: Rosa chinensis
Lineage: Eukaryota; Viridiplantae; Streptophyta; Magnoliopsida; Rosales; Rosaceae
Description: sRNA RchiOBHm_Chr5g0054691
Source: RNAcentral